AGGACGAACGCUGGCGGCGUGCUUAACACAUGCAAGUCGAGCGGAAAGGCCCUUCGGGGUACUCGAGCGGCGAACGGGUGAGUAACACGUGAGUAAUCUGCCCCUAGCUCUGGGAUAGCUCCGGGAAACCGGGAUUAAUACCGGAUAUGACCACUUUAGACAUCUGCUGUGGUGGAAAGAAUUUCGGCUAGGGAUGAGCUCGCGGCCUAUCAGCUUGUUGGUGGGGUAACGGCCUACCAAGGCGACG
Molecule: ribosomal RNA, 247 nt
Filed under: uncultured bacterium
Lineage: Bacteria
Description: partial small subunit ribosomal RNA
Rfam family: Bacterial small subunit ribosomal RNA
Source: RNAcentral